This 410-nucleotide ribosomal RNA is filed under the name Dasella herdmaniae. RNAcentral describes it as "partial large subunit ribosomal RNA". It matches the Rfam family "Bacterial large subunit ribosomal RNA", at positions 1980 to 2597 of the family's 2925-position model. The record is from RNAcentral. Lineage: Eukaryota; Metazoa; Arthropoda; Malacostraca; Decapoda; Palaemonidae.
UUGAAAGCUGGAAUGAACGGCUAGAUGAAAAGUAAGCUGUCUUUUUCUAGUAUUAAGAAAUUAACUUUUAAGUGAAAAGGCUUAAAUUUCUUGGUGGGACGAUAAGACCCUGUAAAACUUAUAUAUUUUUUAUCGUCAAAGUGUAAAGUUUAGUUUAAUUUGUUUGUUGGGUAUCGAUAUUUUGUUGGGGAGACAAAGAUAUAAUUUGUAACUGUCUGUUUUAAUUUUAUACUUAUUAGUAUUUUAGGACCCCUUAAUAGGGACUAUAAGAUAAAGUUACUUCAGGGAUAACAGCGUAAUUUUCUUUGAGAGUUCUUAUCGACAAGAAUAGUUGCGACCUCGAUGUUGAAUUAAGGUUUCAGAAGGGUGUAGCAGCUCUUCUGGUAGGUCUGUUCGACCUUUAAAAUCUU